CUGGGAGUCUGGAGAAGAAUCAGCUUCCAACCUUACUCAGUGACUCAUUUAUUCAUAAGCUUGGGACUCACACAUCACCAAUGAGAACUGAGAGGAUGUCUUACGUUUCCUUCCAUCUACAGGGCAGGUGCAGAGGAUCCAGCAUGUUAUUCUGAAACCCCAGAAGACGCUGCAGCUACCAAAUAGAAGGAGCCUGGAUCCCUGAAUGUCUUCAUGGAACAGAACAUUCUCCUCACUCCAGUCUGUUUGAACCAGAAUAUGACCUGAGCAAGAAAUAAGCCUUAAUUAUAUUUGACCAUAGAAUUCUGGUGAUAUUUCUAUGGCUGUAAGUCCAUGUUGAUUAAUACAAAGGGAUGCUGUAAAGCCUCUUCUAUUAAAAAAAGUUGCCCAAGGAGUGAAAGGAGAGAUAUUUUCUGUAAUUAAGAUUUUCAUAAUACAUAGAACAGGCUAUAGCACCUGGCAAUCAAUCAUAUGGGGUACAACAGAAAGAGGAAACAUUCCUGCUAUUAAAUUAACCAAACUGGAGUUCUUGUUAUAUAAUAUAGUAAAAUUUCCUCAAUCUUUCAGCCACCUUUAGUUCUGUAAUCUAUUAUUUCUGGGUAAAAGCAUACCAUUUGAUACACAAUCCAAACCCAAUUCUUAAUUAAUAACGUGUAUCCACUGUAUCUUACCACAUCCCAAAUCAUCUAAUACUUAACCACCUAGUUUCUAUGUUCCACUUACAUCAAACAUAUUCAUGUUUGGAAAAUUGAGCCAGCAUCUACUGCCUUAUCAGCUGAUGCAUAACAAUUUACUUUGUCUGUGCUCUAUAAUAAUGCAAGUCUGCUUGGAAAGAUAACACGUUAAAGGGUUAUCAGACCCUAACACCUUCGUAUAGAUGAAUUUAUCAGAUCCUCUGCUAAACCACUUUCGAAUCCUUGGCCAGUUCUCUACAUUUCAUGAAGAGUUAGCAUAGCCAGUCCAGGAGAUAUUAUCUUCAGGAUGUGGUCAGUUGUGGAAAGGAAGAUAGCUCUGAGGAUCUCUUUCCAGGGAAAAGAAAGACAUGAGGAUUGCUCCAAAGAUCCUCUUUCUGGGGGAAAACGCACAUACUACAG
Molecule: long non-coding RNA, 1094 nt
Filed under: Homo sapiens (human)
Lineage: Eukaryota; Metazoa; Chordata; Mammalia; Primates; Hominidae
Description: HSALNT0133898
Source: RNAcentral